UCCCUGGUGGUCUAGUGGUUAAGGAUAUGGCAUUGUCAUUGCUGUGGCUCAGGUCACUGCUGCAGCACAGGUUUAAUCCCUGGCCUGGGAA
This 91-nucleotide transfer RNA is filed under the name Sus scrofa (pig). It matches the Rfam family "tRNA". Rfam says of the family: Transfer RNA (tRNA) molecules are approximately 80 nucleotides in length. The record is from Rfam by way of RNAcentral. Lineage: Eukaryota; Metazoa; Chordata; Mammalia; Artiodactyla; Suidae.